ACAUGCAAGUCGAACGGCAGCACGGGAGCAAUCCUGGUGGCGAGUGGCGAACGGGUGAGUAAAGCAUCGGAACGUGCCCAGUCGUGGGGGAUAACGUAGCGAAAGCUACGCUAAUACCGCAUACGAUCUGUGGAUGAAAGCGGGGGACCGUAAGGCCUCGCGCGAUUGGAGCGGCCGAUGUCAGAUUAGGUAGUUGGUGAGGUAAAGGCUCACCAAGCCGACGAUCUGUAGCUGGUCUGAGAGGACGACCAGCCACACUGGGACUGAGACACGGCCCAGACUCCUACGGGAGGCAGCAGUGGGGAAUUUUGGACAAUGGGCGCAAGCCUGAUCCAGCAAUGCCGCGUGCAGGAUGAAGGCCUUCGGGUUGUAAACUGCUUUUGUACGGAGCGAAAAGGCUUCCACUAAUACUGGAGGCUCAUGACGGUACCGUAAGAAUAAGCACCGGCUAACUACGUGCCAGCAGCCGCGGUAAUACGUAGGGUGCAAGCGUUAAUCGGAAUUACUGGGCGUAAAGCGUGCGCAGGCGGUCUUGUAAGACAGGUGUGAAAUCCCCGGGCUUAACCUGGGAACUGCACUUGUGACUGCAAGGCUGGAGUACGGCAGAGGGGGAUGGAAUUCCGCGUGUAGCAGUGAAAUGCGUAGAUAUGCGGAGGAACACCGAUGGCGAAGGCAAUCCCCUGGGCCUGUACUGACGCUCAUGCACGAAAGCGUGGGGAGCAAACAGGAUUAAAUACCCUGGUAGUCCACGCCCUAAACGAUGUCAACUGGUUGUUGGGUCUUCACUGACUCAGUAACGAAGCUAACGCGUGAAG
Molecule: ribosomal RNA, 815 nt
Filed under: uncultured bacterium
Lineage: Bacteria
Description: bacterial SSU rRNA
Rfam family: Bacterial small subunit ribosomal RNA
Source: RNAcentral